AUACGAAGGGGGCUAGCGUUGUUCGGAAUUUACUGGGCGUAAAGCGCAUGUAGGCGGACAGUUUAAGUCAGGGGUGAAAUCCCGGGGGCUCAACCUCGGAACUGCCUUUGAUACUGGGUGUCUAGAGUGUGGAAGAGGUAAGUGGAAUUCCGAGUGUAGAGGUGAAAUUCGUAGAUAUUCGGAGGAACACCAGUGGCGAAGGCGGCUUACUGGUCCAUUACUGACGCUGAGGUGCGAAAGCGUGGGGAGC
Molecule: ribosomal RNA, 250 nt
Filed under: uncultured bacterium
Lineage: Bacteria
Description: partial 16S ribosomal RNA
Rfam family: Bacterial small subunit ribosomal RNA
Source: RNAcentral